RNAcentral lists this ribosomal RNA (507 nucleotides) under Creontiades coloripes. RNAcentral describes it as "partial large subunit ribosomal RNA". It matches the Rfam family "Eukaryotic large subunit ribosomal RNA", at positions 755 to 1243 of the family's 3401-position model. The record is from RNAcentral. Lineage: Eukaryota; Metazoa; Arthropoda; Insecta; Hemiptera; Miridae.
GCACUCCCGGGGCGUCUCUAUCUCAUUACGAGAGGAGGCGCACCUAGAGCGUACACGCUGAUACCCGAAAGAUGGUGAACUAUGCCUGGCCAGGACGAAGCCAGGGGAAACCCUGGUGGAGGUCCGCAGCGAUUCUGACGUGCAAAUCGAUCGUCGGAGCUGGGUUUAGGGGCGAAAGACCAAUCGAACCAUCUAGUAGCUGGUUCCCUCUGAAGUUUCCCUCAGGAUAGCUUGCGCUCGGAAUGAAACGAGUCUCAUCCGGUAGAGCGAAUGAUUAGAGGCCUUGGGGUCGAAACGACCUCAACCUAUUCUCAAACUCCAAAUAGAUGAGAACCCCGGCUUUCUUGAAAGUUUUUCUAAUGAAGCCGGGGGCUUGGAUCAGAGUGCCAAGUGGGCCAAUUUUGGUAAGCAGAACUGGCGCUGUGGGAUGAACCAAACGCGGAGUUAAGGCGCCUCAAUCGACGCUCAUGUGAAACCAUGAAAGGCGUUGGUUGCUUAAGACAGCAG